CCUACGGGGGGCAGCAGUGAGGAAUAUUGGUCAAUGGCCGGAAGGCUGAACCAGCCAUGCCGCGUGAAGGUCAGUGCCCUAUGGGCGUUAAACUUCUUUUGUGCGGGAGCAAUAAUGGUCACGUGUGGCCAGACGAGAGUACCGUACGAAUAAGCAUCGGCUAACUCCGUGCCAGCAGCCGCGGUAAUACGGGGGAUGCAAGCGUUAUCCGGAUUUAUUGGGUUUAAAGGGUGCGUAGGUUGUGAGGUAAGUCAGCGGGGAAAUGCCCCCGCUCAACGGGGUGAAGUGCAAUUGAUACGGCCUUGCUGGAAUGCGGAUGCGGUGGGAGGAAUGUGUGGUGUAGCGGUGAAAUGCAUAGAUAUCACACAGAACACCGAUUGCGAAGGCAUCUCACGAAUCCGCGAUUGACGCUGAUGCACGAAAGCGUGGGUAUCAAACAGGAUUAGAUACCCGAGUAGUC
RNAcentral lists this ribosomal RNA (460 nucleotides) under uncultured bacterium. Its description in RNAcentral is "partial 16S ribosomal RNA". It matches the Rfam family "Bacterial small subunit ribosomal RNA", at positions 338 to 795 of the family's 1533-position model. The record is from RNAcentral.